AACGUGAAAGCACCGAAAAAUUGCCCAAUCAGAAUUCUUUGAAUUGCCUGUCCUAUGCAAAAGACAUCAUUUCCCAUUUUACGAUAUCAAUUCUCAGGAAAGCUGGUUCUUCAAAAAACUGUUCAUCUGCUCUGUGAAACUUUCCUUUCUUCUUUCCUUCUCUCCGACCAAUUUCAGUCUGGUUUUUGCAUCCAGUCAACAUUCUUUUGUUUUCGACAUACCCAGGGAUGUUCUUUAGCAGGUAAAACUCCUCACUUUUUUUUCAAAGAUUCUAUUGCUAGUAUAUGGGCUAAACCAUUUGCUGAUUUCGGAGUAUAUUUAAACACAAUAUUAUUGAAUCCAACUGUUAUCUGUUGAAUAUCAUGUAUAUACGCUCCUGUGAUCUAUCUUAACUUUUUAAUUGACACUUUUUUAUGAUGGCUAAUGAGUCUCCUUCAAUAAUUUUCCCCUUUCUAUGUUAGAUAUGGUCUUUAUAUAAACAAUCAAGUAUAUUCUUUUAUAAUUAAUUACCAUCUUAAUUUUUUUUUCUUUUUAUUUCUGCAUGGUUUCUUACCAUAAAAGUUAGACUUGAGACUAUUAAUUUUUUCUAUUAACUUUUUUUUCCAAUAAUUUCUUGAUUUGUAUAUCAAAUUCAUCUAUAUCUUAUUUAGUAUAGAUCAUGGGUUUAAUUCUAAUAAUUUUAUUAGGAUUUUUUAAUUUUAUUUCACAAUAUCUUGGACUAUUUUAUCAUAAUUUUAAUGGUUCUUCACUAAAACUAUUUUUUAGAAUUUUAAACAACCAAUGAUUUAUUUCUAGUUGUUUAAUUUGUUCUUUUCUUAUUGGUCUAAAUCCUUUAUCACAUAUAAAUUUAUGGUUUUCGAUUAAAGGUAUUUCUACAAAAGUUUUUUCUGUUGACAGUAUUACUAAAUUUUUAUCUAUAGAAAACGGUAAAUGAUGAUAUAUAAAAUUAUUUCCUAAUAAUAUGUCUCCAUGCAUUUCAGGAAAACACAAUAUUUUAGGAAUUACAAAUCUUACAUUAUUUAUAUAAAUUGGAUUAUAGUUUCUUUACCACCUAUUCCUAUGGCUCUAAUUGGUUUUUCAUUAAUUCUCAUUUUUCUACAGUAAUGGCAUUCUCUCUACAGCUACUUGUGGUAGCUCCAGUAUCUAAUAAGGCAUGUAAAGAAUAUGUUUUAUAUUCUCUAAAUUGAAAUGUAAUUUCUAUAUAUGUAUAAUAUUUCCUAGGUUAGAAAUUUGAAAAUGUAAUAAUAUCAUUUUUUUCCAUUUUCAUUUGUUGAAUAAUAGUAGCAGCUUGUAUUUUUUCCAUUCUAGUAUUUCUAGAAUUUCUAUUAGAUUUAGUGGGGAAAAUAGGUAUUUGAACUGUUUUCAUAUCUAUUGGGGUUGUCGAAUUUGUACUAAUAUUAUCUUCUUCUUCCUUUAUUUGAGAAUUACAAGGAAAAAUUAAAUUAUCAUUUGUAUUUGUUAUAGCAUUAUUUUUAAAGUAUAGUCUAUCUCCAGAUGACAUAUUUUCUAUAGUACUUACUGGUUUUGAAGUA
RNAcentral lists this long non-coding RNA (1532 nucleotides) under Gossypium barbadense (sea-island cotton). RNAcentral's name for it is "long non-coding RNA (GBAR_LNC005677)". The record is from RNAcentral. Lineage: Eukaryota; Viridiplantae; Streptophyta; Magnoliopsida; Malvales; Malvaceae.